Molecule: ribosomal RNA, 1010 nt
Filed under: uncultured bacterium
Lineage: Bacteria
Description: bacterial SSU rRNA
Rfam family: Bacterial small subunit ribosomal RNA
Source: RNAcentral
AGUUUGAUUCCUGGCUCAGAGUGAACGCUGGCGGCAUGCCUAACACAUGCAAGUCGAACGGCAGCACAGCAGUAGCAAUACUGUGGGUGGCGAGUGGCGGACGGGUGAGGAACACAUCGGAAUUUGCCCAGUCGUGGGGGAUAACGUAGGGAAACUUACGCUAAUACCGCAUACGACCUUACGGUGAAAGCGGGGGAUCGCAAGACCUCGCGCGGAUGGAUGAGCCGAUGUCGGAUUAGCUAGUUGGUGGGGUAAAGGCCUACCAAGGCGACGAUCCGUAGCUGGUCUGAGAGGAUGAUCAGCCACACUGGGACUGAGACACGGCCCAGACUCCUACGGGAGGCAGCAGUGGGGAAUAUUGGACAAUGGGGGCAACCCUGAUCCAGCAAUGCCGCGUGUGUGAAGAAGGCCUUCGGGUUGUAAAGCACUUUUAUCCGGAACGAAACGUGCGGGGUGAAUAGCCUCGUAAACUGACGGUACCGGAGGAAUAAGCACCGGCUAACUUCGUGCCAGCAGCCGCGGUAAUACGAAGGGUGCAAGCGUUACUCGGAAUUACUGGGCGUAAAGCGUGCGUAGGCGGUUUGUUAAGUCUGCUGUGAAAUCCCCGGGCUCAACCUGGGAAUGGCAGUGGAUACUGGAAAGCUGGAGUGCGGUAGAGGGUAGUGGAAUUCCCGGUGUAGCAGUGAAAUGCGUAGAGAUCGGGAGGAACACCAGUGGCGAAGGCGGCUACCUGGACCAGCACUGACACUGACGCACGAAAGCGUGCGGAGCAAACAGGAUUAGAUACCCUGGUAGUCCACGCCCUAAACGAUGCGAACUGGAUGUUGGGUGCAACUUGGCACUCAGUAUCGAAGCUAACGCGUUAAGUUCGCCGCCUGGGGAGUACGGUCGCAAGACUGAAACUCAAAGGAAUUGACGGGGGCCCGCACAAGCGGUGGAGUAUGUGGUUUAAUUCGAUGCAACGCGAAGAACCUUACCUGGUCUUGACAUGUCCGGAAUCCUUUAGAGAU